Molecule: long non-coding RNA, 513 nt
Organism: Nycticebus coucang (slow loris)
Lineage: Eukaryota; Metazoa; Chordata; Mammalia; Primates; Lorisidae
Exons: 3
Source: RefSeq, a predicted model, not a curated record
UUCAGGCCUGGCUCCGAAGAGAGGUGGGUCCUCUGUCUGUUUCUGCAUUCCCUCUAUUCCGAGAUGUUGUUUUGUUUGCAGUCUGUGGAGAAAAUCUGGCCUCAUAAAGUUAUAGGUACUUGCAGACUACUGUUUAAAUUUUCAUCUGCUCCGACAAGGAGACCAUGAGAGGCUGCUGGAGGAGCCUCGUGUGCAUGAAUGGGACCGGCUGCACCAGGGUUAUGUGACAGGCAAGACCUUGAGUUGGGCGAGGGCAGCGGACGUCACCGCCUGCACCCACAUGGGCACGUCCAGGGGCUGCCAACCUGCGGAGGGAAGGGGCUUUGCGAGGCGCGGUGCUGAAUGCUGCCGGGAGAAAGGCCCGGAGCCGGGCUGCCCUGAACCCCAAGAGUGCGGUACUGGGGCGCCGCGGAACACGGACACAGGGACCAACUCAGGGCAGUCACACCAAGCCGGCGCCUCCUGGCGGGGAGAGUAGAGGCCCCAAAUUCCAAAUUUUGCACAAAAGCUUGA